CAGGUCUUGACAUCCUCUGACACUCCUAGAGAUAGGAUUUUCCCCUUCGGGGGACAGAGUGACAGGUGGUGCAUGGUUGUCGUCAGCUCGUGUCGUGAGAUGUUGGGUUAAGUCCCGCAACGAGCGCAACCCUUGAUCUUAGUUGCCAGCAUUCAGUUGGGCACUCUAAGGUGACUGCCGGUGACAAACCGGAGGAAGGUGGGGAUGACGUCAAAUCAUCAUGCCCCUUAUGACCUGGGCUACACACGUGCUACAAUGGAUGGUACAAAGGGCUGCAAAACCGUAAGGUCUAGCCAAUCCCAUAAAACCAUUCUCAGUUCGGAUUGUAGGCUGCAACUCGCCUACAUGAAGCCGGAAUCGCUAGUAAUCGCGGAUCAGCAUGCCGCGGUGAAUACGUUCCCGGGCCUUGUACACACCGCCCGUCACACCACGAGAGUUUGUAACACCCGAAGUCGGUGGGGUAACCGCAAGGGGCCAGCCGCCUAAGGUGGGACAGAUGAUUGGGGUG
RNAcentral lists this ribosomal RNA (508 nucleotides) under uncultured bacterium. RNAcentral describes it as "bacterial SSU rRNA". It matches the Rfam family "Bacterial small subunit ribosomal RNA", at positions 975 to 1482 of the family's 1533-position model. The record is from RNAcentral.